RNAcentral lists this unclassified non-coding RNA (248 nucleotides) under Hevea brasiliensis (rubber tree). Lineage: Eukaryota; Viridiplantae; Streptophyta; Magnoliopsida; Malpighiales; Euphorbiaceae. The record is from RNAcentral.
UAGAUAUAGGGGCGGCUUCGCUGGCUUGGAUUGGAAGGAAGGGCUUCGCUUUCCGAUCGCUUUUUGAGGCCGGUUUGGGUGCGCGUGGGCAAGUUCGGGAUUCGCUAUCGCUUUCGACUUGGAGCGGCUCACCCCCCUUGUCACAACAAGGGCGAAGUCGCUGAAGCGAGUCUAAAGGCCAAAGAGUGAUCUUUGAACGCUACUACGCAUCCUUACUAAUAGUAUAGUGUAAGGUAGGUUUGGGUAUA